AAUGAACGCUGGCGGCAUGCCUAACACAUGCAAGUCGAACGAGACCUUCGGGUCUAGUGGCGCACGGGUGCGUAACGCGUGGGAAUCUGCCCUUGGGUUCGGAAUAACAGUUAGAAAUGACUGCUAAUACCGAAUGAUGUCGUAAGACCAAAGAUUUAUCGCCCAGGGAUGAGCCCGCGUAAGAUUAGGUAGUUGGUGUGGUAAAGGCGCACCAAGCCGACGAUCUAGCUGGUCUGAGAGGAUGAUCAGCCACACUGGGACUGAGACACGGCCCAGACUCCUACGGGAGGCAGCAGUGGGGAAUAUUGGACAAUGGGCGAAAGCCUGAUCCAGCAAUGCCGCGUGAGUGAUGAAGGCCUUAGGGUUGUAAAGCUCUUUUACCCGGGAUGAUAAUGACAGUACCGGGAGAAUAAGCUCCGGCUAACUCCGUGCCAGCAGCCGCCGCGGUAAC
RNAcentral lists this ribosomal RNA (451 nucleotides) under uncultured bacterium. Its description in RNAcentral is "bacterial SSU rRNA". It matches the Rfam family "Bacterial small subunit ribosomal RNA", at positions 29 to 524 of the family's 1533-position model. The record is from RNAcentral.